This 268-nucleotide unclassified non-coding RNA is filed under the name Hevea brasiliensis (rubber tree). Lineage: Eukaryota; Viridiplantae; Streptophyta; Magnoliopsida; Malpighiales; Euphorbiaceae. The record is from RNAcentral.
UGUGCCUGUUAUAUACGGUCUGAUUUGCUGUUGUUUGUAUGUAUGUGUUACAUAUAUGUGGUGAAGGGAACGGAUGGGAAGGGAAAGGCGAGAGAGAGAGAGAGAGAGAGAGAGAGAGAGAGGGGGGACACAAGGGGAGAGGGGGGAGGAAGAAAAGAGGUGCGAUUAAAACGAAUCGGUACAAGAGAGAGACACCCUUAUUGGCUUAUUCUGCUCUUUCUUUUAUUUCUUUGUUGGCCUUCGCUUUCCUCUUCUGCUCUUCUUCUUC